CUGAAACAAAAUUAACUUCUUGUUAAAUCCCCUUCAUCAGGGUUUUGGGGUUAAAACUCUGAAAUAAAAUUAUACACGAAACCCUUAAAAUUUUGGAGAUCUGAGAACAACAUAGUCUUUUUUCUAUUUUCUUUUGCGAAGCAGUAGCAGACAGCCUUUGUCAUUUAGUAAUUUGCUUAUAUAUUAUGUUGACAUAGGCAUAUUUUUUCUUGCUUAGCUAGCGCUUAAAAAUUCGGUUAUCGAAUUAGUAGAAUACAUCUUCAUAUAUGGAAUAAAGCCAAACUUAGUGCAUAAGGACCUACCGUUUCAGCUGUUCUCAGAUAUCACUUUUUUGUUUUACCUAAUCAUUCUGUGUGACUUUUGGUCUUGAAUAUGAAGGCUGUUGAAAUGUACUCCAUAUUUGUUAUGCACAAAUCGCCGGGGUUAUGGGCUACCUUAUACCUUAUUGCAUCAAGGGUGAUUUGAUCGAGGGUCUCGGUCUUUAGAAUGUUUCCAUUAUCAUUACACCACGGUCCUUUGGACUUUGGUUGGCUGUUUUUGUAUGUAUAAUCUGAAAAUUCAAAAUUGAUCUGGUAACACUCUAUAGCAAUUCAUGUUGGACCUGUUUUUUGCAAUUUCAAUUUAGAUUUCCCAAUGUGCAAUAGAAGACUGAGCUUGAUCCAUGUGAUAAAUCUGCUGAAUUGUUUCAUGCAAAGUCUUUAAAUUGGGAUAUUUUAUUUGAGUAAACGCUAUGUAAACCAAUUUAAAUGUUUUUUCAAAGUGUAGUUCACUGUAUGCACUGCCUGUGAAUUUGAUCCUUUCACCAAUACAGAAUGUCUGUCAGACAAAAAUGACUUUCCUUGAAAAAACCUUCUGUUGUUGCCAGUUCAAUGUCUGGGCUUAUUUUCCAGAUUGAACCCAUAAGUUGUGAUUUGAUCAGGGAGAAUCAACUUUCAUUUGGAUGAACUAAUGAUAUUUGAAGCAACCAAUUGACAUCUGUAAUUGUUCAAGAAAAUUAUCUUGAAUAUUGCCAAGAAAUAACAGAAAACCAGGAGAUUGUUGACCAUAUGUAUCUUCCUGCACAGCACAUUGCUGGAUGACCCACAAAAGCUGCAAUCUCUAAGGUGGACUUGAGUUAAAAUCUAAUAAGUAAUAACUAAGGGCGAGACAAAUGUCAGCAAUGCCUUUGAUUGGGCCCCCGCACAGUUUUUCUGCUUUACAUUCCCUAAUAGACUAUUCUCUACUUCUUCUGUAUAAGGUAAGUCAUGGAAUCUAAACUAAGAUCCCUGUUGUCCUUUAAGUUAAGACAUGGAAUCUUAAACUAAAUUUAAAACAUGGGCAGGAAGUUAUCGAAUCAUUCAGCAGUGGUUGAGAAUGCAGUCAAUGCUUGUAAGUUGUGUUCAUUUCAAUCCAGAGCUUAGGUACCAACCACCACGGGUAGCAAUUCUGAUGCAGAGCAUCCAUAAUUUCCCUUGCUAUUUUUGGUUCUGAUCGUGGAGAUGCGGAUUAGCUAAUGUUGGCUUUGCUUUUGUGGUUGUUUGAGUCGGUGUUUCCAUUUUGCUCAGCUACUCAUGAUUAUGUAACUGCUGUUUUGGUUUGUCCAUUUUGGUUUUGUGUAGUGGUCUAGCGGAUAGUUGCCGGCAUGACUGGCGAGCUAUUUUUAGGAGAAGUGUUUUUUGUUUUAAAGAGGGGUCUGAGAAGUGGGGGAGGUGGUGAUAAGAUUGGAGGCAUGAAAACAGAGACCAAGACUGGAACAAUUCUGGAGAUGUUUUUCUCCCAUUUUUGUGCUGUAUUUUUUGUCAAUGGUUCAAGUAAAAAAUAAUAUUAUAUUUACUUUGUUCAAGGAUUCCAACGUCUGAUUUUUCUCUAGUCAUUUCUUUUCCGGGUUAUUUGUUUUAAUUGCUGCAGAUUAAUCUAUCGCACCUUGUUUUGAGCUGCAUCAGUUUUUGGUAUCAGAGCAAAUAGAUCCACAUGAGAGGAUGUUGGCAUGAAAGCUGUGUAAGGAAUACUGCUAUGAGAGCUCUGUUUUGGUUUGUUUAAGUUCUGUUAUGUUUCUAUGGUUAAAAAGGGGAAGCAUGGGCACUUACAUGGAUAGUUGCAAAUGGUCAGGGGAGCUUAGACUGUGGAAGUAUUAUUAAAAUAUGAUUAAGUUCUGUUAUGUUUCUAUGGUUAAAAAGGCGAAGUAUGGGCACUUACAUGGAUAGUUGCAAAUGCUUAGGAGAGCUCAGACUGGAAGUAUUAUUAAAAUAGGUACAAAUAAGCUCUGAAUCAAGGAGAGAAUGAAUCUGAUUCAAAAAGAGCAGCUGUAUACGAGUUGUUAUUUUAAUAGUGUAAUUAAUUGUUGUUUUUCAUUUGGAAUGGUUGCGUUUACAGUGUUGCCACAUCCUAUGUUCUGCUAUGUUUCUAUAGUUCCAGUUUACAUCCUAUGCUGUAGGAAACCAAAAUUUCAAUGUCUAUGAAGAAGAGGGGAGAUGAAAUCUUUAUGACAAAAGUGUAUCACGAGUUUAAAAGAUUGAUGCAAUGUUGUUGUUGUAAACAACAAUGUGCAAAAGGGGAGAGCUGUGAGGAAACAAGGAGGGUUAGUUGUUUGUUUGAGCUUUGGCUGUGAAGUCAAAUAUGGAGCUAGAUUAUAAUGUAAGAAAAAGGAUAAUCAGGGUGGAAGAGAAGAUAAGACAAAGGCAAAGGCAGAAGCUAACAAAGGACCAACAAAAAGAGUUGCAAAAUUAGAGGUUGAGUUGGAAGAGUUAUGGUGCCUAUUGGAGGAAUGUGAGUUAUGCGACAAUAAGAAAGCAAGGAAUAAUAAAUUUACAGCAAAGAUGUUGAAGACUUACGAGAAGGUGAAAAAGAAUGGUGAAGAUAAAUACUCGCCUUGUAAGCAAGAGCCAUUUUCAGAGAGCAAAGCCAUUGAGUUAAGAAUUAGCCAAGGGGUGGAAUUGUUAGAACAAGGAAAUAAUAAAUCUUUUGAAGAGUUGGCAAAAAUAUUAGUGGAUAGAAGACCCUUAAAUGUGGUGUUCCAAGAGUUACAGAGAGCACAAAUAAAUGAAUGGGACAAAGAUAAAGAGAUAGAUGAAUGGGAUACAGAUGAAGAGAUAGAUGAGUUUAACGGAGCUGUUGAGCUGUGUUACCCAAGAGAAGGGGAAGACAUUGAAGAUUACAAUGCAAAAGAGAAGAGUUGGAAGACUAUAAUGAGAAGGAAUGCAGCCAAUCACAAGAGGAUGCCUAAAAUGUUGUAGUAGUGGAAGCAGUCCACGUUGGAGAGGAAGCUGCGGUAGAGAUGGAGGUCUUUGGGAGCUCCAUAUGUGAUGAAGAUUUAAUGUUUUUAGAGAAGACUAUUUGUUAGAAACAACUAGAAGAAUGUUUAGAGAAUUCGACUAGUGAUGAAAAUGGAGUAAAAGAUCAACACUUCUGUAAGGAGGGAACAAGGAUAAUUGAUGGAGAGAGCAGUUAUAUGUUUAGUUAUGGCAUAAAGGACAAUGUCCAAAAGGAUUUGACUAGUGAACCACAUCACACUGAGCUAAGAUAUAAGUCCAGCUCACAAAAUAUGAAAUGGAAAGCAUGCUUAAAUGGCAUAAUGCACAUAAGGAGAAAGUAUUUAAGGGAAUCUUUUAUUCCCUUAACUUUAUUCUGUUUUUAAUGAUUUAUGUGCUGAUGUAAUAGGAGCCCAUAGGAAUGAUGCAAAGAGCAAUGAUGAUUUACAAUGGAGGACUACUAAGCCUUCGAGGGGCUGGGAAAAGAGAAAAGGAACAUAUUGGCAUAGGAGGAUGAUAUUUGUUGCAACAAGAGGUUGGAAGCAAAGAAAAAAAAAUGUGAUGAUUUGCAGAAAUAUCUAAGCUAGUGGAAGGGAACAACAUGGCUUGAUUCUCCAAGUCAAAAAGAUAGCUUUUGGUAAUAGUAAUCUAUUUAAGUUCUCCAAUUCGGGCACUUCUGAACUGGGAGGUUUAGAAACUUUCAAAGAUGGGGAUGAUGAUGCAGAGCAUCCACAAUUUCCCUUGCUAUUUUUGGUUCUGACCGUGGAGAUAAGGAUUAGCUAAUUUUGGCUUUCCUUUUUGUGGUUGUUGUUUCCAUUUUGCUCAGCUACCAAUGAUUUUGUUACCGCUGUUUUGGUUUUGUGUAGUGGUCUAACGGGUAGUUGUUGGCAUGACUGGUGAGCUAUUUUUAGGAGAAUUUUUUUUGUUUUAAAGAGGGGUCUGGGCAUAGGGGGAGGUGGUGAUAAGAUUGGAGGCAUGAAAAAAGAGACCGAGACGGGGGACAGUUUUGGAAAUGUUUUUCUCUCAUUUUUGUUCUGUAUUUUUUGUCAAUGGUUCAAGGAAAUAAUAAUAUUAUAUUUACUUUGUUCAAGGAUUCCAAUAUCUGAUUUUGCUCUUGAUGCAGCCAUAACCGGUAAAACCCUCAAAGAGAGUCAACCAGGUUAUGCAGCAAGAGCAACACAACGAAAGCAGCAAGAAAAAAUAACCAGAUUACAUAAACAGCUCAUAUUAUUGCUUUAGAACUUCCGGCAAUCAUCCGGCUAUCAUCAAAGAACAUCUGACAAUUAACUGGUUACAUGCAGGCUAUCAGCCAGAUACAAUCCAAUCUGGGACUCUAGGAAUCAAUCAAAUCACAAAAUGCGAAUCUCAAUCCUUAUUCUCAUUUCUACUUCCUCUACCCCUACAAAUGAUUACAUAACAUCAUAUUUAUACCCAUUGGAACAUAUCGGGGUCGGCCUCAUAAGAUUACAUUUACCAAUGCAGGAUAACGAAACGUGUAAAUAGGUCGGCCCUAAAAUUAAAGAAAUCUUUUCGGAAAAUAACAACCACGAAAUGCGGUUCUGCAGGAAGGUCGGCCACACGCCAAAGAACAUCGGACAAGACUCGAAAUAGAUCCACACGCCAAGAAUCGCGCCGGUAAUAAAGAAAAACCAACCGGUAAGCACAAGAACUGUCCUGGAACCUAGAAACAGUCAACCAGAAGUGAUAACUGACCGGAAACGAACCAAAAUGAACUGAAAAUCUGGAAUUAAGCACAUGAAACCGCUUGGAAACCGAAAAUAAGGUCUGCCACGAAAAACAAGCAACUACCGGUGCCAACCGGUAAGAACACAGAAAACUGCAUAAAGAAUUAAACAAAAACAAAACUAAAAGGAAAUAUUUUUGGUUGAUGCAAGAUUGCUCAUCGAUUGGGGAUGCUCCUGCAUCAGCUCUAGUCAUUUUUGUUCUGGGUUAUUUGUUUUGAUUGCUGCAGAUUAAUCUAUCACACCCUGUUUUGAGCUGGUGUCUAGCCGCCCAUAGCCAUUGUAUGAGUUUUGUAUAGGCAUAACUCCUCCUUGUUGGGUGAUAAUGAAAUCAAUCUGAAAAAAAUAUCAGGGAACACUUGUUAGGAAGAUGAGCAGCACAUUUGAAAUUACUUGGCUUUUGAUGACAAUUUUGGUGGAGGUAGAAAAUUCAAGUGCAUAUACUUCAUCUAGUGAAUAGUUGCCUUUUUGGAUGUUCGUUUAUUUUCAUAACUUUAUGUGAAGUAAUGCAUGAAUUCUCUCUUUGCAUUGAUAAGGCCCAAAAUGAGCACUUUCUUGUACAAUACUGCCUUGCUUAAUUCUUCAACAGUGAAAGCGCAAGGAAAAUUCUUAAAAAAUGGUGGCUGGUCACAUAUCUAAUGAUUUCACAUUGUACUUGCUGGUGAUGUUACUCUUCAAUAGAAUUAGAGAUGGCAAGGAGAACAAGGAUCUCAAGUGUCUUUUUGCGAGAAAGGGUGUUCUGCACUACAACUUGUAGAGAGAGGGCAUGUAUUACAUUGAAUGGAACCAUAGACUUGGACUUAGCGUGGACUCGGCAAAGUGAAAAACCCAAGAAAUUUAGGGAUUUUUAAGGAUUUAAAACUUAUUUCAUGUACCCUUUAUUUAAUAAACCUUCAAGGCACGAUAACAUCAUCAAAUAGAAGCUAAUUUGAUCACAUACACAAGUAUACAUCGAUCACAUAAGUAUAAACACAAAUUGUAGUUGAAGGAAGUAGCAAACUUAGAUAUAUAAAUAUUGUCAAAUGUAUACAAAACUCAUGGAAUAUAAAAUCCAUGACAUCAAAUGUUCCACACAAAUAUCAAAACAAUAAGAACAAGUCUAUGGCUUAAAGGAGGCUGCAUCCCUCCUACAAAGACGUCUAAGGUAGGUCUUGGAUGAUUCAACAGCCAUAGUCUUUGUCCAUGACUCCAUGCCACCCUCGCCAACAUUAGCUGUGCUUGCGUGUACUCGUGCUCUAACCUCCUCCUAUGCCAUGACUACAACUUCAACCUCUCUAUUUGCUUGGUCAAUGCAAUCAAGGUCCUCAUCACUAAAGACAUGAUCCAUAGCCUCAGCGAUCCACACAAGGUGUUAGAUGUGAGAAAAACCCACGAUAGAAGGGGUGCGGGGAAACGUGCGUUUCCCCGCAGUCUGGAAGUGGGGGUUUGGGGCCUAUGCCCCCUAUAAAUUUUUUUUUUGGACAAAAUGUCAAAAAAUUUCCUUUUUUUGUCAUUUUUUUAGAUUUUAAAAAAAUAGGCAUAAGGACUCGCCGGGUCUGAGCAGAGACCGUGAGUUCCUAGACUUGCCCACGACUCGGACGAGUCCGAGACCUGACUCGCGACUCGCCCAGUGUCACCCGACUCGCGACUCGCCGAGUCCUAGCGAGUCCAGGAACUAUGGAUUUAUGGAGCCUCCUGGAAGCCUAAGGUUUGCUAGAUGAUGCAUAUUCACCGGAACUAGCUUCCUGUCAAUAUGACACAUAUUUUUGACAAGAAUCGCAUGGUUACAUAUUUGGUGGAGUUGUUUGAUCAUCAUCAGUAGGAAAGGGGUUGUACUUUACUCUGUAAACAAUCUCCUGUGUUCCAAAACUGGAAGUUUUGAACAUGCUUGUUCUGUGGAAAUGUAAAUUAUUUUCUGUGGAGUUGUUAGAUUCUAUUGGAAGUCAAGAUUUUAGUAAGUUUCCCAUCUUUGACAGAAUUGCCAUCAAAAGGAAAAAAAUUCAAAUGCAUCACUCAGAUGCCUAACAAGCAACCCAUGGUUAAAGCAUUGGCAGACUGGUUCGAUUAUCAGCCUCCAAGCAAGGAGGUAAUCAUACUAAUUCUUAUGUAAAUGUCGUGAACUGUCCAAAACUGUGAAAGACAAGUUCUGAUCAUGCUUGUUUGUAAAAGCUCAAAUUAAAGCCCUUGGAGUUAUUUAGCUCUGUACUGGAGGAUGGGGAUAGUCAUCGACUGCAUGCCCUACCACCCUGAAAUGAUUGGUUUUAUGCUUGGAGAUUUGGGGACAUUGUUGUAUAAUGUGAUAAAGAUACUGGACCAGCCAAAUUGACAUUCAUUCUUUUAUAAACUAGCUGUUUCCAUAUUCAAGAAAUAACAGCAAAUCAGGUGGGUUGCAAAUAAUGUGUGUACUGGACAUAAAAAAUAGAUCAACACCUUGCAAAUCCUACUGAUUAAUACAAGAGGCUUGAUUGGAACAACUGGCUUGUCAAAUAAUUGUUUGAAUGACAAAAUGGUGAACACUAUUGGGUUCUCUCUCAUCUCUAGUCAAGGAGAGGGAGAAGUCCUAAUAGAAAUCCUAAUUACAUAAUAUAAUCUCUUAUGCAAACACAACAUUUGCUUGUAAAAUUAAUAUUAAUACCAUGAGAUUAGGGACAAAUCAGCCGAUAAGAUAAAGCUAAUAUCAAGUUCGGCUGAGGUCCACAAUAGACUGCACAUUUGCUUCCCAUGAAAUGGAAAUCCUCCAUUCAUCAUAUAUUUUGUUAGGAGCUUCUAUCCACUGUACUUGAUUCUUUGAAAGAUUUGGGUUGCAUCAAAGUCUAGAAUAUAUCCGUAAGCAUCCCUGGGAUGCUGAAAGUAAAUUACCUCCAUAAUCAUAGUUGUGAAAAACAUUUUCCAUAAACAAAAUGCAUCUGCAACCAAUUUUCUUUAUCUACCUUGUGCUUGCUCCUUAAAGUAAAACUCACAACCAACUUAACCUUAGACAUGAUGACCAUGUAAUUCUCCGAUGUUUGGAAAUAGUAUGAACUUAAAAGCUUUGUAGUUUGUAUAUAAUGCAAAAUUCUUAGGGGUCAAAUAGCGUCUCUUGUGAGGUACUGCUUGUACAAUUACAUAUCUCUUGGUCGUUAGUGCAAUACUUCUUUGCAUUAUAUAACUUUCCAUUCUUGUAUGUUGUGAGAAGACUUUCUUGACAAACACAAAUUUAAGAGCCAAACCUUAUCUAUGAAGGUCAGCUUGAAAAUUUUUGACAAAAGUUUGAAACAAUAAUUACUAAGGAGACUCCAAUAUAUGAACGAGGACUAUUGGUUCUGUAGGCUGCUUCCCUUGCAACUCUAGAAGAUCAUUCGUGUAUGAUUCUUGGGAAUGUUGAAACAAUUUGUUGGACAAGGGCUAUGAUCAAGUUAUAGGUGCAUUUAAGAUUUCAAUGAGAGUAGGCAACUCCACACGCUCCUAGCUAUUCAAAACCAAGGAGGGCUUAUUGAGAUCCUUUAGGACAAUUAUAGAGAAACAAGAAGGAUAACUCUAUUAUUUGUUGCUAAUUACCCCUCAUGGUAGCUUAUUGGAUUUAUGAACCUAGGAUCUCUAAACAAUAGAUAGAACACUUGGAGGAUGCAAGGUUCAACUCUAGUGAUAUCAUCUUGGAUGCCUCUUUAUGGAUAUAUCAAACACCAUUUUUUAUGAACACUUCAUUUUGAGAAGAACAUCUAAACCUAAUCUACAACCUAUGUUACACCAAGUUUUUAGGAUCGGGAUGACACUGGCUGCAUUUUUGGGACAAUGGCCCAAUGGGGGUUUGAACCUUGGUGGCCACAACAACACCACCACCACUUAACCAACACACUAUGGGAAGAACCCUAAAUAUAUAUGUUAAUAUUAAUAUAUUAAUAUAUUUUUUAUUAAAUAAAUGGGUAUUACAUAUAUUGUUUAUUUUACUAUAUUUAUUACAGAAAAACUUUAUAUAUGUAAUUUUUUGUAUGUUUUUUAUAUGGACAAAGACAAAAUGAACCCAACCCCCAAUUUUUUUUGAAUCAACCUGCAAACUGAACCGGCAAACCUGAACCCAUACCAAUACCCAGACUGGUAACACAGUUUAUCCCCUUCCAGGAUUUGGAAUUAGAAUCAUGUCUUCUUAGAGAUUUGUUUGAAAUACUGCUUUGAAGACUGUCAUGUCUUCAUCUUUUCUUUUAUAGCAUGCUUUUUGCUCUCUAACCAGCACACUGAGAGAUCAUGCAGAAAGCAACACUCUCUGUCACCUUUUUCAUUAUAACAAAUUUUGCUCUUGCCUUUUCUGUACAAGGCGUAUUAUUGUUCCUCCCACAUUGCAGAACACUCUAAUCAUGUUGCCAUUGCCUUUUCAACACAUGAGAAUAAUAUCACACAAAACAUAUAUGUAUGAUAUGCCAAUCCCAGAUUGAAACUAACCAAACACCAAUGAGAUAUGUAAACUUCUUGCCUACUUACAUCCAACCUAGCUGGUGUGUAUUUGGAUAUGACUAUUUUGGCAGAUUAAAGCGUGAAACUGCAUAAGGAUUUUCUAUUAGCCAAGAUCUGGAGUUUUGCUAUUUCCACCUUCUAGAGGACCAAAACUAUUGUGUAGUGAAAUUGGAGGCUUGCUACAGUUUCUAUAAAUAAUAUUUUAUUUUAAAAACACCCAUAUUCCAAGAUAAUAUAGAGGAUCCUAGUAAAACCAGAUAUUUCAUUGGAAAUCUGCCAAAUUAAAAAAUCCUGAUUACAAUUUGACAAUCUUUAGAAUUAUAUCUUUGUUUUAAAUUUUAAUGCAUUGAGAAACUAAUGAUCUGAGUUUAUAUAUUUUAUCAUAGGUAAACUAGUGCUGCAAUCUGAAAAAAGUUUGUAAACCAGCAAAAAUUACUAAAGGCUAUGAUACAAAAUUAAUUCCUGAUGUGUAGGUCAAAAGUCUGAGUUAAGAGCUUUGCAUAAUCAAGGCUAAUUAGCUACCUGGUAAGCAUGGCUAGAAUCUCAUUUUAGUUCUUUUGCAUAGUGUGUAUUUGUUGGCCUGAUCAUCUCCGUCUUUCAUAAACUCCUUUGUGCCUUAUUUUCAGUCAUCUGUUUGACUCCGAAAACUGUGCUACAAGGGGUUCCCUUUGAAUGAAGACGUUUCUGACAGUGACAGGCUUGCCCUCAACUGUAGGCACACAUAACAAGAACUCCUUGCCACUAGACUUAAGUUUCAACUCACCUCUUCCAAUUCCAUUUCCAUUUUCAUGUCAGUUUCAGAAUUCAAGAUGAAUGAUAUCCACGUAGAGUAAGCAGAAUUACCCUUUUUGACUUUAGAAUAUUGGUUCUUUAAUUAAUGUGCUGCCAGAGACUGAAUAGUAGCAUGUUUUCUAUUGAUUCGGCCACUCAGAAUAUAUCUCUGGGUAUUUAGGUAAGUAUUUGAUUUCAUUUCUUUCUUCUAUCGCCAUCAAUAUCAGAGGUGGCUAUUGAAAGUUUCUCACAGAAUCAAACUAUCUCAGACCUGAGAAUUGCAGGAGCAACAAAGAUAUUGAGAAAGUAGCAGGAAAUGAAUUUGCAAGGUUCUAUACUAACAGAUGUGUAUCUCCUUUGCAAGUUUGAUGAGAGACAGGAUGGCUCACACAUUUUGAAGUAACAUUCUUGAGCUCUUGGAAUAUAGUCCUGGGCAUUUAGGAGCAACAGGUGAUAAAGUAGCAGGAAAUGGAUUUGCAGUGUCCUAUACUAGAUAUAUAUCUCCUUUGCAAGUUUGAGGAGAGAUGGGAUGGCUAAUGCAUGUUCAAGUAACAUUAUUAAGCUCUCUUCUUGUAAUUAUUAGCACUGCCCAUGCCAUUAAUUUAAUGUUUGCAUAAUAAUUUUAUACUAGAUGACCCCCGAAGAGCUUAAUGAAUUUCAUGAAGUUCAUGAAUCAUGUAAUGAGCACAAGCAAGUAACAACUUUCCUAUAUUGGCUGGUUGAUCAGUACUUUUGUUGUUCUUGAAACAAUGCCAAAACAAGAUUCUGUUGAA
This is a long non-coding RNA of Cryptomeria japonica (Japanese cedar), 10920 nucleotides long. RefSeq lists it as uncharacterized. The transcript is spliced from 2 exons. The record is from RefSeq and is a predicted model, not a curated record. NCBI's taxonomy places the organism in Eukaryota, Viridiplantae, Streptophyta, Pinopsida, Cupressales, Cupressaceae.